AAGCAGAUACUAACAAGCUAAUUGUUAUUGUGCAAAAUAAAAAAAGUUUAAGUAAAAAGCUUCUUUUGGUCACUGAAAAGAAGAUCAUAUGUGCAAAGGUGCAAUAUCAUUAAAUAUUUGAAAAUUAGAUUUUGUAAAACUAUACUUUGUAAUAGCCUUACUUAGAUUUGGUUUGCUGACCUGCUGUUGCUGUUCUUGUUGUAUUGCACAGUUCAAACAAGUGUUGUGCCAAGUCGUAUGAAAGUUAUAUUGUCUUUUUAUUCGAGAACGUGGCCUUUCGGUUUGAGAGCAUGAUUUCUUAAAUGUAGUCACUGUAUAUGACACACAACAUUUCUCUCAUUCAGAUCUUCAUUUUGUUGUUCUUGUUUUAUGAUUGUUGACAUCCAGCUUAAUGGUAAAUUACUGCCACCUUCUGUUCCAGAAUGUGAAUUACAGCACCUCUUUCAUUAUACAGGAGCAGCUCGUCAUGCAUGUAGAUGGUGCCAUCUUGUGGUCAUCAAUCACAAUGCAGUAUUUUUUUCAUAUAAGUCACUCCGGAAUAUAAAUUGCAUUACCUCCCAAAGUAGAUUAAGAAAAACAGAAUUGAUAGUCAUGAAAAAUACUGGGGAGGGGGGCGGGGGGAUUUGUAAUUGAACAGAUGCACUUUGCCUUUGUGCAAAUAUGUAUCACUGAGGAUGUUGCAUUGAGUUUUUGGAGGGGAAACUCUUCCUGCAGAGGCACUCUGAAUUUUAUUCCAAAAUUCUCCUGAUUCAGACUUUAUGUUCUUAUAUUAAUAUUCAUAUCCUCUGCCCCUGACUGCAAAUGUGUUUAUCCUUUCCAACAAUUCACAACUCAGGUAUCUUCUUUCCAUACUUUUUCAUCCUUGUUUUUAAAGAAGGAAGCUUUUUUUUUUUCAUCUUUUAUGUUCCUGUGAAUAAUAUAUGCCCCUCCCUUUUUUGUGGCUCUCACUUUCCUCAAAAAUGUAAUUUUAUUUCCUGCAACCAACUGUAGUUGUCGUCUUCUCCUUUGAAGUGUGCCGUCAUCUUUUUCAGUCACUGUAAGAUUUGAUACCCUGAAUACACCGUGCAUCCUAAUCUAAUAUAUUGCAGCACAAACCUAAAACGUUAUUCACUGAAAUUGGAGAAACUUCCCAAAUAAAUAAAUGGAAUGAAGUAAGGCUGAACAGCGAGGAUGAAGAUGACAAUGAGCAGUAAAUUGAAAUACUGAAAAGUGGAGUUUUGUGUUGGAAACUGAGGACAGAUAUGGGGUGCUGUGAGUGGAUUAUCAGCCAAGGAGCAUCAGCGGGAUGAUGUGAAGGAGGAAAUGUUUGGGGAAGAAAAAGGGAUGAUGAUGAGGAGGAGCAGGAGGAGGAGGACAAAAAGAAGCACAGAGCUUCUCCUUUGCUGAGUUUCUAAAUCUCAUCUUCCUCUACACGAAGAGGAAAAUGUCAAACUCAAGGUCGCCGCUGCUCCUCCGUCUCCCUCUGCAGGAUUCACCGUGGUAAAGAAAGAUAAGUGGGAGAAACGGUGACAUUACAUCUGGGACUCACCAAAACGUUAUUCGAUGUGCGUUGCCUUCACACGCUGAUGAUGCCAAUCAUUACAGAAGAGACGUCCGUGGUUAGUGAGCAAGAACUUCCAAACCCAAAAGAAACCACAGUGUGGAGCUCUGAGUGUAGCAGCCAGAGCGCCUUAAACCACUUCACCACGAGGCUUCAUGUGUUGCAUUUUCAUUCCUUUUAUGCUUUUUCCAGUCGCCAUUAUUUUUAAAAACACUAUGCAAAGUGAGGGUUGGUCCAUCAUGAUGUCCAUCAGCUCCAGUCGAGUCUGAUCCAGUGUACUGCUGGACUGCCCCGCUGACGCCUGAAACAUAUCAGAAACAUCUGCCCCGUCCUGUCGGUCUGACGUGACCCCACAUCAUAUCAAGGUUCACAUCUUUGGACAGAUCUCAGCUGAGCCGCUCACAUUCAUUGCCAACUUUUGAUGGAACUUUCACAACAAAUGACGCGACGGAAAGCCCUCAAAAAAAAAUAAAAAAAUGUAAAGGAGAAGUUCCUGAAUGUGAGGACAUGUGUGAGGCCCUCGCUCUCUUUCUCAUGUGGCAUACGAUAUCUUGGCCUUCCUGUUCCCCGCAUCCCAACACUGCUGCAGCUUCUCUUCAGCAAAACUGCAUGGCAUGAAUGAAACCAAUCCAAACCAAAGAAGGACCAUCAAAGACACCAUAAUUUAAAAAAAGAGGGAAAAUAUGCUCUGAGAAGAGAGAGAGGGGCUUUUAUUGAUUCAACAUUGCUACUUCAAAGUCACACCAUCAUCGCUGUCAUUUGAACUUCCUUCCACCUAAACAACUGGCUGCUAAUGUGCAAAACAGCAAAUUCUGCACAAACUGCUCUACUUCUGAAGGCAUGAUGAUGGAUGAGGACGUUCUGCAGACCAUACACUCUAUACCUCUGGGGAUGUGAGAAAAUAAAAUUAAGAAAGUACGUAUUCAGCAGGACAGGGAGAACAUCUUUGAGGAACUAUUCUUGGGGACAGACACACAAAAAAAAGGCAAAGAUUGCAAAAUGCAUUUUUUUUUUUUUCCUGGAAAUUGUUUACCAGCAUGAAUCUUCUGCAUGAACUGACUUCUGCAAGCCAUUCUGGUCUCCCCCAUUAAAAAAA
Thalassophryne amazonica is the source of this 2636-nucleotide long non-coding RNA. RefSeq lists it as uncharacterized. The transcript has 2 exons. Lineage: Eukaryota; Metazoa; Chordata; Actinopteri; Batrachoidiformes; Batrachoididae. The record is from RefSeq and is a predicted model, not a curated record.